RNAcentral lists this long non-coding RNA (363 nucleotides) under Sus scrofa (pig). Its description in RNAcentral is "lncRNA (ENSSSCG00070001967.1)". The record is from RNAcentral. Lineage: Eukaryota; Metazoa; Chordata; Mammalia; Artiodactyla; Suidae.
UCUGGAUCCUUUAACCCACAGCGCUGGAUCAGGGAUCAAACCACUGCAGUCAGAUUCUUAACCACAGUGCCACAGCGGGAACUCCUAAGCAGGUGACUCUGAAUGAAUGCAGCCUAUUCACCCAUGAGCCAUCAGUUUCAGUUCCUUCUGCAUCCUCCCUGUCUCAGAGUGAAGCCCACGGUCCCAGGAGGAAGUUCCGAAGAUGUUCUAGUCCUAACCCUGGACAUGGCCAGGCGCCAGGCCAUCCCAGCACAGGAUGCAGCAGCCAGGUGCCUUAGGGGACACCUGUUCUCCAGGUCUCCAUUGGUAAGACAAUGGCAGCAAGUCCCACUGCUGUCAAACACAGGGUCACCUGACAGUUAG